This 104-nucleotide ribosomal RNA is filed under the name Bacillus mycoides. Lineage: Bacteria; Bacillati; Bacillota; Bacilli; Caryophanales; Bacillaceae. The record is from RNAcentral. RNAcentral also lists the same sequence under 18 other names.
GCAGAGAGGUCACACCCGUUCCCAUACCGAACACGGAAGUUAAGCUCUCUAGCGCCGAUGGUAGUUGGGACCUUGUCCCUGUGAGAGUAGGACGUCGCCAAGCA